CHCCGGAGCCWCAAGUGGCAAYCRCCUUUAUUGGGCCUAAAGCGUCCGUAGCCGGUUUAGUAAAUUUUCUGUGAAAUYGUUSUGCUUAACSCAACGGCGUGCAGGAGACACUGCUUGACUUGGGAYCGGGAGGAGUCAGAGGUAUUUUGGGGGGAGCGGUAAAAUGCUAUAAUCCCCGGAGGACCACCUGUGGCGAAGGCGUCUGACUAGAACGRAUYCGACGGUGAGGGACGAAAGCUAGGGGAGCAAUCCGGAUUAGAUACCCGAGUAGUCCYAGCUGUAAACUCUGCGAGCUAGGUGUUGCGCAKUCUUCGGGAUUGUCKSGUGUCGUAGUGAAGAUGUUAAGCUCGCCGCCUGGGAAGUACGGUCGCAAGACUGAAACUUAA
This 386-nucleotide ribosomal RNA is filed under the name uncultured euryarchaeote. RNAcentral describes it as "partial 16S ribosomal RNA". It matches the Rfam family "Archaeal small subunit ribosomal RNA", at positions 474 to 859 of the family's 1478-position model. Lineage: Archaea; Methanobacteriati; Methanobacteriota. The record is from RNAcentral.